RNAcentral lists this ribosomal RNA (100 nucleotides) under Sinocyclocheilus rhinocerous. The record is from RNAcentral. Lineage: Eukaryota; Metazoa; Chordata; Actinopteri; Cypriniformes; Cyprinidae.
CCCUGCAGCCCAAGACUGGUUGCCCACUGAAGCUAAGCAGGGUUGAGCUGGUCAGUACCUGGAUGGGAGACCUCCUGGGAAAACUAGGUUGCUGCUGGAA